CGAUGAAAAUUGGGUCCUACGCAACGGAAGCCUAUGAACCCCGUCAGGUUCGGAAGAAAGCAGCGGUAAGUAGUCACUUUCGUGUGCCGUGGGAUUGCCUGGUUCG
RNAcentral lists this signal recognition particle RNA (106 nucleotides) under Acetivibrio thermocellus ATCC 27405. RNAcentral describes it as "Hungateiclostridium thermocellum ATCC 27405 SRP RNA; RNA component of signal recognition particle". It matches the Rfam family "Bacterial small signal recognition particle RNA". From Rfam's summary of the family: The signal recognition particle (SRP) is a universally conserved ribonucleoprotein involved in the co-translational targeting of proteins to membranes. Archaeal SRP consists of a 7S RNA and homologues of the eukaryotic SRP19 and SRP54 proteins. RNAcentral also lists the same sequence under 1 other name. Lineage: Bacteria; Bacillati; Bacillota; Clostridia; Acetivibrionales; Acetivibrionaceae. The record is from RNAcentral.